This 346-nucleotide unclassified non-coding RNA is filed under the name soil metagenome. Its description in RNAcentral is "partial contains 5.8S ribosomal RNA, internal transcribed spacer 2, and large subunit ribosomal RNA". The stretch from base 1 to 120 matches the Rfam family "5.8S ribosomal RNA", at positions 35 to 154 of the family's 154-position model. The record is from RNAcentral.
GAUGAAGAACGUAGCGAAAUGCGAUAAGUAAUGUGAAUUGCAGAAUUCAGUGAAUCAUCGAAUCUUUGAACGCACAUUGCGCCCCUUGGUAUUCCGGGGGGCAUGCCUGUCCGAGCGUCAUUGCUGCCCUCAAGCACGGCUUGUGUGUUGGGCCCCGUCCUCCGAUCCCGGGGGACGGGCCCGAAAGGCAGCGGCGGCACCGCGUCCGGUCCUCGAGCGUAUGGGGCUUUGUCACCCGCUCUGUAGGCCCGGCCGGCGCUUGCCGAUCAACCCAAAUUUUUAUCCAGGUUGACCUCGGAUCAGGUAGGGAUACCCGCUGAACUUAAGCAUAUCAAUAAGCGGAGGA